RNAcentral lists this ribosomal RNA (466 nucleotides) under uncultured bacterium. RNAcentral describes it as "partial 16S ribosomal RNA". It matches the Rfam family "Bacterial small subunit ribosomal RNA", at positions 30 to 507 of the family's 1533-position model. The record is from RNAcentral.
CGAACGCUGGCGGCGUGCUUAACACAUGCAAGUCGAACGGAAAGGCCCUGCUUUUGUGGGGUGCUCGAGUGGCGAACGGGUGAGUAACACGUGAGUAACCUGCCCUUGACUUUGGGAUAACUUCAGGAAACUGGGGCUAAUACCGGAUAGGAGCUCCUGCUGCAUGGUGGGGGUUGGAAAGUUUCGGCGGUUGGGGAUGGACUCGCGGCUUAUCAGCUUGUUGGUGGGGUAGUGGCUUACCAAGGCUUUGACGGGUAGCCGGCCUGAGAGGGUGACCGGCCACAUUGGGACUGAGAUACGGCCCAGACUCCUACGGGAGGCAGCAGUGGGGAAUAUUGCACAAUGGGCGGAAGCCUGAUGCAGCAACGCCGCGUGCGGGAUGACGGCCUUCGGGUUGUAAACCGCUUUCGCCUGUGACGAAACGUGAGUGACGGUAAUGGGUAAAGAAGCACCGGCUAACUACGUG